Molecule: ribosomal RNA, 253 nt
Filed under: uncultured bacterium
Lineage: Bacteria
Description: partial 16S ribosomal RNA
Rfam family: Bacterial small subunit ribosomal RNA
Source: RNAcentral
UGCAGAGGUCCCAAGCGUUGUUCGGAUUCACUGGGCGUAAAGGGUGCGUAGGUGGUGAGUUAAGUCUGUCGUGAAAGCCCCGGGCUCAACCUGGGAAUGGCGAUGGAUACUGGCUCGCUAGAGUGCGGUAGAGGGUGGUGGAAUUCCCGGUGUAGCAGUGAAAUGCGUAGAGAUCGGGAGGAACAUCAGUUGCGAAGGCGGCCACCUGGACCAGCACUAACACUGAGGCACGAAAGCGUGGGGAGCAAACAGG